AUUGAACGCUGGCGGCAGGCCUAACACAUGCAAGUCGAGCGGUAACAGGGAUAGCUUGCUAUCUGCUGACGAGCGGCGGACGGGUGCGUAACACGUAGGAAUCUACCAGUAGCGGGGAUAGCCCGGAGAAAUCCGGAUUAAUACCGCAUACGCCCUACGGGGAAAGCAGGGGAUCUUCGGACCUUGCACUAUUGGAUGAGCCUGCGUCGGAUUAGCUAGUUGGUGGGUAAAGGCCUACCAAGGCGACGAUCCGUAGCUGGUCUGAGAGGAUGAUCAGCCACACUGGGACUGAGACACGGCCCAGACUCCUACGGAGGCAGCAGUGGGGAAUAUUGCACAAUGGGCGCAAGCCGUGAUGCAGCCAUGCCGCGUGUGUGAAGAAGG
RNAcentral lists this ribosomal RNA (384 nucleotides) under uncultured bacterium. RNAcentral describes it as "bacterial SSU rRNA". It matches the Rfam family "Bacterial small subunit ribosomal RNA", at positions 30 to 414 of the family's 1533-position model. The record is from RNAcentral.